Molecule: ribosomal RNA, 462 nt
Filed under: uncultured beta proteobacterium
Lineage: Bacteria; Pseudomonadati; Pseudomonadota; Betaproteobacteria
Description: bacterial SSU rRNA
Rfam family: Bacterial small subunit ribosomal RNA
Source: RNAcentral
AGGAAAGUAGGGGAUCGCAAGACCUUGCGCUUUUGGAGCGGCCGAUGUCUGAUUAGCUAGUUGGUGAGGUAAAGGCUUACCAAGGUUUCGAUCAGUAGCUGGUCUGAGAGGACGACCAGCCACACUGGGACUGAGACACGGCCCAGACUCCUACGGGAGGCAGCAGUGGGGAAUUUUGGACAAUGGGGGCAACCCUGAUCCAGCCAUGCCGCGUGAGUGAAGAAGGCCUUCGGGUUGUAAAGCUCUUUCAGCCGGAACGAAAAGGUUACGGUUAAUACCCGUGACUAAUGACGGUACCGGAAGAAGAAGCACCGGCUAACUACGUGCCAGCAGCCGCGGUAAUACGUAGGGUGCGAGCGUUAAUCGGAAUUACUGGGCGUAAAGCGUGCGCAGGCGGUUUUGUAAGUCAGAUGUGAAAUCCCCGGGCUUAACCNUGGGAACUGCGUUUGAAACUACAAGGCU